Molecule: ribosomal RNA, 538 nt
Filed under: uncultured archaeon
Lineage: Archaea
Description: bacterial SSU rRNA
Rfam family: Archaeal small subunit ribosomal RNA
Source: RNAcentral
GGACCGGGAUAACCCUGGGAAACUGGGGCUAAUACUGGAUAGAUGAUUUUUCCUGGAAUGGUUUUUUGUUUAAAUGUUUUUUCGCCUAAGGAUGGGUCUGCGGCAGAUUAGGUAGUUGGUUAGGUAAUGGCUUACCAAGCCUAUGAUCUGUACGGGUUGUGAGAGCAAGAGCCCGGAGAUGGAACCUGAGACAAGGUCCCAGGCCCUACGGGGCGCAGCAGGCGCGAAACCUCCGCAAUGUGAGAAAUCGCGACGGGGGGAUCCCAAGUGCCAUUCUUAACGGGAUGGCUUUUCUUAAGUGUAAAAAGCUUUUGGAAUAAGAGCUGGGCAAGACCGGUGCCAGCCGCCGCGGUAACACCGGCAGCUCUAGUGGUAGCUGUUUUUAUUGGGCCUAAAGCGUUCGUAGCCGGUUUGAUAAGUCACUGGUGAAAUCCUGUAGCUUAACUGUGGGAAUUGCUGGUGAUACUGUUGAACUUGAGGUCGUGAGAGGUUAGCGGUACUCCCAGGGUAGAGGUGAAAUUCUGUAAUCCUGGGAGGA